This 467-nucleotide ribosomal RNA is filed under the name uncultured bacterium. RNAcentral describes it as "partial 16S ribosomal RNA". It matches the Rfam family "Bacterial small subunit ribosomal RNA", at positions 28 to 506 of the family's 1533-position model. The record is from RNAcentral.
GACGAACGCUGGCGGCGUGCUUAACACAUGCAAGUCGAACGGUGAAGCUCCAGCUUGCUGGAGUGGAUCAGUGGCGAACGGGUGAGUAACACGUGAGCAACCUGCCCCUGACUCUGGAAUAAGCGCUGGAAACGGCGUCUAAUACUGGAUACGAGAAGGGUCCGCAUGGGCACUUUCUGGAAAGUUUUUCGGUUGGGGAUGGGCUCGCGGCCUAUCAGCUUGUUGGUGAGGUAAUGGCUCACCAAGGCGACGACGGGUAGCCGGCCUGAGAGGGCGACCGGCCACACUGGGCCUGAGACACGGCCCAGACUCCUACGGGAGGCAGCAGUGGGGAAUAUUGCACAAUGGGCGAAAGCCUGAUGCAGCGACGCCGCGUGAGGGAUGACGGCCUUCGGGUUGUAAACCUCUUUCAGCAGGGAAGAAGCGAAAGUGACGGUACCUGCAGAAGAAGCACCGGCUAACUACGU